GCUGGGCGUGGUGGCCCACGCCUGUAAUCCCAGCACUUUGGGAGGCUGAGGUGGGUGGAUCACCUGAGGUCAGGAGUUCAAGAUCAGCCUGACCUGCAUAGUGAAACCCCAUCUCUA
RNAcentral lists this non-coding RNA (117 nucleotides) under Nomascus leucogenys (northern white-cheeked gibbon). The record is from Rfam by way of RNAcentral. Lineage: Eukaryota; Metazoa; Chordata; Mammalia; Primates; Hylobatidae.